Carassius auratus (goldfish) is the source of this 624-nucleotide long non-coding RNA. RefSeq lists it as uncharacterized. The transcript is spliced from 4 exons. Lineage: Eukaryota; Metazoa; Chordata; Actinopteri; Cypriniformes; Cyprinidae. The record is from RefSeq and is a predicted model, not a curated record.
ACUGAAAGAGCCGAGAGAGAGCGCGGGGAUGAGCAUUUCUGCCAGUGCUCUCUCAUAUCGACUCGGUGACCCGCUUCACUACGCUUUGGCAUUCAAUUCGUCACGCUGUCAUGUUUGCUCGAAGCCUUAAGAAGAGAAACUCCAGUCGGUUGCCCACUGUGCUUGAUGAUCUAGAAAGAGGACAACCUUGUAGCAUGUGUGGGGAGCAGUGUCCUGGCUUCGUUCUGCAUAAAUGGAGGAAGUCUGUCAUCUUCUUACAAUGAUCAACCCAUUUGUCUAAAGGAGAGCCUACUCAUGCUCAAACAUUCUCUUACACAGCGAGCAGAUCUGAAUUAUGGUUCCAUGGGGAGUGAGACAGGCAUGGGAUAAGAUUGAGCUCUUGUUUCUCCAUCAGAUGACAUUUGCACUUUCUUCUCCAGUGCAGGUUAUUGUAUGUAUGUGUGUGUGGAUUAGUAGACUCAGCAGAUGCUGGGUGAUCCUGCUUUCCUGCCCUGAGGCAAACGCUUACCAUUUGCACCAUGUGUUUGCAUUUGUGUUUACGGGUGUAACCAUGCUGGUGGAUUUGGGUGUAGUCUGCAUGUGCACUGGGGGGCUCCUGCACGCUGACUGGAAAUUUGAAAGUGC